UACGAAGGGGGCAAGCGUUGUUCGGAAUUACUGGGCGUAAAGCGCACGUAGGCGGCUUUGCAAGUCAGAGGUGAAAGCCUGGAGCUCAACUCCAGAAUUGCCUUUGAGACUGCAUCGCUUGAACCCGGGAGAGGUGAGUGGAAUUCCGAGUGUAGAGGUGAAAUUCGUAGAUAUUCGGAAGAACACCAGUGGCGAAGGCGGCUCACUGGACUGGUAUUGACGCUGAGGUGCGAAAGCGUGGGGAUCAAACAGG
RNAcentral lists this ribosomal RNA (253 nucleotides) under uncultured bacterium. RNAcentral's name for it is "partial 16S ribosomal RNA". It matches the Rfam family "Bacterial small subunit ribosomal RNA", at positions 524 to 776 of the family's 1533-position model. The record is from RNAcentral.